GGCUGUAUAGUGUAGUGGUUUAGCACUCGGGAUUUUGAUCUCUUGUCUGCUAUCUUCCCGCAACCCCGGUUCGAACCCGGGUACGGCCU
RNAcentral lists this transfer RNA (89 nucleotides) under Ceratobasidium sp. AG-Ba. It matches the Rfam family "tRNA". Rfam says of the family: Transfer RNA (tRNA) molecules are approximately 80 nucleotides in length. Their secondary structure includes four short double-helical elements and three loops (D, anti-codon, and T loops). The record is from Rfam by way of RNAcentral. Lineage: Eukaryota; Fungi; Basidiomycota; Agaricomycetes; Cantharellales; Ceratobasidiaceae.